GAUGAACGCUGGCGGCGUGCCUAAUACAUGCAAGUCGAACGCUGGAGAUCUAGCUUGCUAGCUCGAAGGAGUGGCGAACGGGUGAGUAAUACAUAAGCAACCUACCCACGAAGACUGGGAUAAUCUCUGGAAACGGGGACUAAUACCGGAUAGGUAAUCGGAAGGCAUCUUCUGGUUAUUAAAGGUUACAAACACUGGUGGAUGGGCUUAUGGCGCAUUAGUUAGUUGGUGAGGUAACGGCCCACCAAGACGAUGAUGCGUAGCCGGCCUGAGAGGGUGAACGGCCACAUUGGGACUGAGACACGGCCCAGACUCCUACGGGAGGCAGCAGUAGGGAAUUUUCGGCAAUGGGGGCAACCCUGACCGAGCAACGCCGCGUGAGUGAAGACGGCCUUCGGGUUGUAAAGCUCUGUUGUAAGGGAAGAACGGUAGAUAGAGAAUAUCUAAGUGACGGUACCUUACCAGAAAGCCACGGCUAACUACGUG
RNAcentral lists this ribosomal RNA (486 nucleotides) under uncultured bacterium. RNAcentral describes it as "partial 16S ribosomal RNA". It matches the Rfam family "Bacterial small subunit ribosomal RNA", at positions 28 to 507 of the family's 1533-position model. The record is from RNAcentral.